GUAGUUGUGGCCGAGUGGUUAAGGUGAUGGACUAAAAAUCCAUUGGGGUUGCCCCAUGCAGGUUCAAAUCCUAUCAACUACG
Molecule: non-coding RNA, 82 nt
Organism: Emys orbicularis (European pond turtle)
Lineage: Eukaryota; Metazoa; Chordata; Testudines; Emydidae
Source: the annotation of a RefSeq genome assembly